UUGGUCCUACGGGGGGCAGCAGUCGGGAAUAUUGCGCAAUGGAGGAAACUCUGACGCAGUGACGCCGCGUAUAGGAAGAAGGUUUUCGGAUUGUAAACUAUUGUCGUUAGGGAAGAAAAAAAGACAGUACCUAAGGAGGAAGCUCCGGCUAACUACGUGCCAGCAGCCGCGGUAAUACGUAGGGAGCGAGCGUUAUCCGGAUUUAUUGGGUGUAAGGGGUGCGUAGACGGGAAUACAAGUUGGUUGUGAAAUCCCUCGGCUUAACUGAGGAACUGCAACCAAAACUGUAUAUCUUGAGAACAGGG
Molecule: ribosomal RNA, 305 nt
Filed under: uncultured bacterium
Lineage: Bacteria
Description: bacterial SSU rRNA
Rfam family: Bacterial small subunit ribosomal RNA
Source: RNAcentral